This 361-nucleotide unclassified non-coding RNA is filed under the name uncultured fungus. RNAcentral's name for it is "partial contains small subunit ribosomal RNA, internal transcribed spacer 1, and 5.8S ribosomal RNA". The stretch from base 1 to 73 matches the Rfam family "Eukaryotic small subunit ribosomal RNA", at positions 1759 to 1831 of the family's 1831-position model. Lineage: Eukaryota; Fungi. The record is from RNAcentral.
GCAAACUUGGUCAUUUAGAGGAAGUAAAAGUCGUAACAAGGUUUCCGUAGGUGAACCUGCGGAAGGAUCAUUAAAAAUUGAUUUGGUCGAUGUAGACCUAAAAUCUGAACUUGUGUUAAUAGUGGGACGACUUUGGGUUUAAAGAUGGAAUUGUGCAUCUCUAGUAGAUUGAUGGAAGUCAAUGAUUUUAUUAUUGAUGGAAAUGGAUUGAAGGAACCACAACCGACCCAAAGGAAUGAAAAACUCUUUAUGAUUAUGAACUGAUUAUCAAGUAAAAUAAUUCAAUUUUUUUGGAUUAAAAAAGUUUUAAAUAACUUUCAACAACGGAUCUCUUGGUUCUCGCAUCGAUGAAGAACGCAGC